UUAAAAAACUUUUUUUAAAAC
This 21-nucleotide non-coding RNA is filed under the name Caenorhabditis elegans. The record is from RNAcentral. Lineage: Eukaryota; Metazoa; Nematoda; Chromadorea; Rhabditida; Rhabditidae.